UGGGGAAUUUUGGACAAUGGGCGCAAGCCUGAUCCAGCCAUGCCGCGUGCGGGAAGAAGGCCUUCGGGUUGGAAACCGCUUUUGUCAGGGAAGAAAUCCUUUGAGCUAAUACCUCGGGGGGAUGACGGUACCUGAAGAAUAAGCACCGGCUAACUACGUGCCAGCAGCCGCGGUAAUACGUAGGGUGCGAGCGUUAAUCGGAAUUACUGGGCGUAAAGCGUGCGCAGGCGGUUAUAUAAGACAGAUGUGAAAUCCCCGGGCUCAACCCGGGAACUGCAUUUGUGACUGUAUAGCUAGAGUACGGCAGAGGGGGAUGGAAUUCCGCGUGUAGCAGUGAAAUGCGUAGAUAUGUGGAGGAACACCAAUGGCGAAGGCAGCCCCCUGGGUCAAGAUUGACGCUCAUGCACGAAAGCGUGGGGAGCAAACA
This 427-nucleotide ribosomal RNA is filed under the name uncultured bacterium. RNAcentral describes it as "bacterial SSU rRNA". It matches the Rfam family "Bacterial small subunit ribosomal RNA", at positions 355 to 774 of the family's 1533-position model. The record is from RNAcentral.